UGUAGUCCGAGCCUGAGCGGCCUGUAGGCCCCGCUAUACCCGUUAUAGAACGGAGGCCGGUGUGACCGGAGGAGCGUUUAUCCAGUCCAUAUGUGAAGGGUGUCAUAUAGUGGCAGUCAUAAACCGCAUACAGGAGUCUCCUCAUCCGGGCAUUUACCUCACAGUCACCUCAUUACACAAGCCGCCAUCUUGGCUGGAAGCUGACUGGGCGCUGCUGGGCGGACGUGUCAUACUGGUAGAAUGUGACGUUGUUAGAGAACUAAACUGAGCAUGUGGAAAAUCGAGGAACUAAACAGAAAGGACGUGAUCUGAAGUAGAUGUGACACCAACAGAAGAGUCUAACGGCACAUUUACACACCCAACUGAGCAGGCAAUGACCAGGAAGGAACCGAACCUUCCCGAUGAUUGCCUGCUCGUCGCAGGACGGAAAUAUUCUGGGGGAAAUAUUAAAG
Long non-coding RNA from Bufo gargarizans (Asiatic toad), 452 nucleotides. RefSeq lists it as uncharacterized. Lineage: Eukaryota; Metazoa; Chordata; Amphibia; Anura; Bufonidae. The record is from RefSeq and is a predicted model, not a curated record. The transcript has 3 exons.